Long non-coding RNA from Octopus sinensis (East Asian common octopus), 91 nucleotides. RefSeq lists it as uncharacterized. The transcript is spliced from 3 exons. The record is from RefSeq and is a predicted model, not a curated record. Lineage: Eukaryota; Metazoa; Mollusca; Cephalopoda; Octopoda; Octopodidae.
UAAAAACAUUGCUAGAUCAAAUUGGAGCCUGUGCAGCUUUCUGGUUCACCAGCCUGCAGUCAAACCAUCCAAACCAUGCCAGCAUGGAAAG